UUUCAACGGAGAGUUUGAUCCUGGCUCAGGACGAACGCUGGCGGCGUGCUUAACACAUGCAAGUCGAGCG
This 70-nucleotide ribosomal RNA is filed under the name Kribbella pratensis. RNAcentral describes it as "Kribbella sp. VKMAc-2574 partial 16S ribosomal RNA". It matches the Rfam family "Bacterial small subunit ribosomal RNA", at positions 1 to 68 of the family's 1533-position model. The record is from RNAcentral. Lineage: Bacteria; Bacillati; Actinomycetota; Actinomycetes; Propionibacteriales; Kribbellaceae.